UUAUGUAUGUGUGAUUUCUUUCUUUCUUUCUUUUUUUAAUAAAUUUGCAAAAAAUCUCAAACAGCUUUUUUCGCAUUGUCAUUAUGGGGUAUUGUGUCUAGAAUCUUGAGGAAAAACAAUUACUUCAUGCAUUUUUGUAUAAGGUUGUAACAUAAAAUGUGGAAAAAGUGAAGCACUGUGAAUACUUUCUGGACGCACUAUAUGCGCUUUUAAAUUGGAGACAUACAGUAUCCUCCAUAUCCAGGAGGAUAUGACAGUAUAUAUUAUUUUUUAGUCACUGUGUUAAGAAAGUGGAGGGAAUGGAUUCAGUAAUCCACAUUUUACAGGCUAAAGCUGAGGAAAAUGCUGAAGAUAAUGGGGUUGUCUAUCUAUAUUGUGAUUACAGGGUUAGUAACACUGCACAUUAGGACUAAUGCUGGUCUUGCUCUGGAUUAAUACAUUUUGACAUCUAUUCCAUCCUGACCUAGGCAUUUGGGUUCCUGUGCUCUGAAUCAGCUGGUUCUAGAGCCUCCCAAAAAUGGAACCAGUUUUCCCAGCCAAACUCCAGUAGUUUUAAGCUGGAAACAUUUAAAACUGUUCCUGGUUUGGCACCAGCACUGACAGCGGCCCAGCAGUAAAGGGGCCACAGCACACUUCAUACAACAUUGUGUUUGGAUUGUGGAGAUCAAACUGAGAGACAAUUAAUCAUAACAAUGCGGAAAAUUUGAAACUUGUUCAUCAGUGUUUUCAUGUAAGGUCUCAUUUAUGCUCAACAUUAAACAUAGAUACAGAUACAGACGGCGCUUUCUAUUCGCACUCUGUUUUCAUUUUGUUGGUAUGUCUGUCUAUUUUCUGAAAAUUUACAGAUACAGACAAAACUGAGCAUUACCACCAAAAAUCAUGGGAGCAGUG
Long non-coding RNA from Thalassophryne amazonica, 891 nucleotides. RefSeq lists it as uncharacterized. The transcript is spliced from 2 exons. The record is from RefSeq and is a predicted model, not a curated record. NCBI's taxonomy places the organism in Eukaryota, Metazoa, Chordata, Actinopteri, Batrachoidiformes, Batrachoididae.